CCUACGGGAGGCAGCAGUGGGGAAUAUUGGACAAUGGGGGCAACCCUGAUCCAGCCAUGCCGCGUGUGUGAAGAAGGCCCUCGGGUUGGAAAGCACUUUCAGUGAGGAAGAACGCCUGGUGGUUAAUACCCAUCAGGAAAGACAUCACUCACAGAAGAAGCACCGGCUAACUCCGUGCCAGCAGCCGCGGUAAUACGGAGGGUGCGAGCGUUAAUCGGAAUUACUGGGCGUAAAGCGCGCGUAGGUGGCUUGAUAAGCCGGUUGUGAAAGCCCCGGGCUCAACCUGGGAACGGCAUCCGGAACUGUCAAGCUAGAGUGCAGGAGAGGAAGGUAGAAUUCCCGGUGUAGCGGUGAAAUGCGUAGAGAUCGGGAGGAAUACCAGUGGCGAAGGCGGCCUUCUGGACUGACACUGACACUGAGGUGCGAAAGCGUGGGUAGCAAACAGGAUUAGAUACCCCAGUAGUC
RNAcentral lists this ribosomal RNA (465 nucleotides) under Vreelandella stevensii. RNAcentral's name for it is "partial 16S ribosomal RNA". It matches the Rfam family "Bacterial small subunit ribosomal RNA", at positions 338 to 795 of the family's 1533-position model. The record is from RNAcentral. Lineage: Bacteria; Pseudomonadati; Pseudomonadota; Gammaproteobacteria; Oceanospirillales; Halomonadaceae.